Molecule: long non-coding RNA, 2973 nt
Filed under: Pelobates cultripes (western spadefoot toad)
Lineage: Eukaryota; Metazoa; Chordata; Amphibia; Anura; Pelobatidae
Source: RNAcentral
AUAAUAUAAAUAGGGAUACAAAACUGAGAAAUAAAUUAGGAUAAAUUAUUAAAAAAAUAAAAAACAUUUUUUUUCUGCUGCUGUUUAUUUUAAAAACAUUUGCUUAAAUACUUAUUUCUGUACUGUAUACGUAUAUUAGAAAACACAGCUGGAGUGAGAUUAGGGCUGUCGGCUUAUUCCUUGCAUUUAAAUUCUGCAUUUUUUAUCUGCAAAGAAUGAAAAUGGCGGAUUGCGGAAUUCACGUUCUCCCGAUGAGAAAUCAAGGAAUUAAUCACAGAGGAUUCCUUCAGACUCUGAUGUCACACCUGGAGCGCAUGAAUUCCACAUUCUGACACACAACACCCCCAAGCGCCAGGGAAACUAAACAAAAAGAAAGCAGGCAGCUGUAAAAUCCACAGAGAGCUGCUUUCUCUGUUGAAAUUGAUGUAACUGUGAGUAUGUUUCUGCAAUGAAAGAAUUGUAAAUCGUUACAGUAAUAAAUGGAUUGGCUAUAUUACUGAUACUAUUAACACAGAGAGACAUACAGUGAGGAUAUCACUAUCUGUGUGUAGUGUCUCUGACUGUCUGCAGCCAGGCUGUGAAUUUACUGCCGCUCACUCAGUGCUGUCCGUGGCUGAGCUUUGUACGUACAUUUGAUGAGGAAGUCUUUCUGGCAUGAGGAGGCGUGGCUAAAAGAGGCCGGCUUCUGGUGCAGCAUUCUGCAAAACAUUUACAGGGUUAUUCACUAAAGUGAGAAUUCAAUGUGAAUUUAAAAUUUAGGAUCAAAGUAGCUGAACGGGAGACAUUCUCUUAGUCAGCUCUGCUUUCCAUGCAGCUACUCUAGUCGUAAUUCUCAAAUUCACUUUGAAAUCACUUCCAGGACUCACUUUAUUGAAUAACCCAGCUAUUUGUUUGUGCAAAUCUAUAAAAAAAUUUGAGAAUGCAAAUAAUACAGCUAAGUAACGAGGUCAAAUCUAGCACGUUUAUUACAAUUGUAUUGUUGGCUGGAGUGCUUAUUUAAUUUGGGAUGCCUUCUUGAUGAAUUCAUUGAUUUCCCUCUUUUGGGAUAUUAAUUGCAUUGAUUAUUUGCACUCAUCUACUCAUUUCCAUUUCAAAGUUGUGGGAAUAUAUUUUGAAAAAUUGAUCUAUGUAAUUCUUUAAAAAAACCGUCCAGAUUUCAUAAAUCGUGGUAAAUACAACUUCCUUAAUUGUGUUUCACAGGAUCCGUUUCUAACUUGAUCUAAUAACUAUAGAACUAUAAUAACUGUCAUGCGUCUGCUGAGAUGGUUUAGGGAAAUGAAACGGAUACUUCCUGAAACUGGACCUUCUGCUAACCAGGACACAUUAUAAGAUUGUAGAAAAGAGAACCCAGUGAGUCGAUGUAACUAAUUCUCAGACAAUAAAUGGACACAUUUCUAAUUUAUAAAAUAAAGCUUUGAUUUGAAUGCAUUAAUCACAAAUAUUAAUAAAUAUACAUCACUAUCUGAUAAUAUGUUUACAAUGUUUUAAUGUUAUAGUAAUGACACGUUAUGAUAAAUCUCUCUCGAUGAAGAUGUUCUCUACCACAAACACUUCAUGUUACACAUGAUACAUUCAGAAUAAUAUAAAUAAACACAGCCUUCGUUUUAGAAUGGAAAGCCAGGACUAGUAUGUAACAUCUAACAUCUAAAAUAACUCCCAAUACAAUAACUGCUAAUACAACAACUGCUAAUGCAAUAACUGCUAAUGCAAUAACUCCCAAUACAAUAACUCCUAAUGCAAUAACUGCUAAUACAAUAACUGCUAAUACAAUAACUCCCAAUACAAUAACUCCCAAUGCAAUAACUGCUAAUACAAUAACUGCUAAUGCAAUAACUCCCAAUACAAUAACUCCCAAUACAAUAACGUCUAAUACAAUAACUCCUAAUACAAUAACUCCCAAUAUAUUAACUCCCAAUACAAUAACUGCUAAUGCAAUAACUCCCAAUACAAUAACUCCCAAUACAAUAACUUCUAAUACAAUAACUGCUAAUACAAUAACUCCUAAUACAAUAACUCCCAAUAUAUUAACUCCCAAUACAAUAACUGCUAAUGCAAUAACUCCCAAUACAAUAACUCCCAAUACAAUAACUCCCAAUACAAUAACUCCCAAUGCAAUAACUGCUAAUACAAUAACUGCUAAUAUAAUAACUCCCAAUACAAUAACGUCUAAUACAAUGACUGCUAAUAUAAUAACUCCCAAUACAAUAACUGCUAAUAUAAUAACUCCCAAUACAAUAAUUGCUAAUACAAUAACUCCCAAUACAAUAACUCCCAAUACAAUAACUGCUAAUAUAAUAACUCCCAAUUCAAUAACUGCUAAUGCAAUAACUCCCAAUACAAUAACUCCCAAUACAAUUACUCCUAAUGCAAUAAUUGCUAAUGCAAUAAUUGCUAAUACAAUAACUCCCAAUACAAUAAUGUCUAAUACAAUAACUCCCAAUCCAAUAACUCCCAAUGCAAUAACUGCUAAUACAAUAACUGCUAAUAUAAUAACUCCCAAUACAAUAACGUCUAAUACAAUGACUGCUAAUAUAAUAACUCCCAAUACAAUAAUUGCUAAUACAAUAACUCCCAAUACAAUAACUCCCAAUACAAUAACGUCUAAUACAAUAACUGCCAAUACAAUAACGUUUUUGAUAAUGUAAUAAUAAGAGCGUUUGCUUUGUCUAAGAGGAUUUAGGGGAGGGAGCACCUUCAGAUAUUUUAUGUUCCUUUUGGUCAGCUUGAGGGUUUAUUUCUUUUGAUGUAUGUGUAACAGUUGAAUAUUUUGUGAUAUUUUCUAAAUAAAGAAUGUAUUAUCGCUAAGGUUUAAUUGCUUCCCGUGUCUCCCGCUCCUUUCUUGUAACUGAGAGGACUCAGAGAAAGUUUGGUGUGAACUGUGCACUCAUCUCUGCGUGAAGCUGUGAGUGUGUACUCAGCACUGUGUGAAGCUGUGAGUGUGUGCUCAGAACUGCAUGAAGCUGUGAGUGUGAG